Molecule: long non-coding RNA, 726 nt
Organism: Populus nigra (black poplar)
Lineage: Eukaryota; Viridiplantae; Streptophyta; Magnoliopsida; Malpighiales; Salicaceae
Exons: 2
Source: RefSeq, a predicted model, not a curated record
UAUCUGACCGCAACUUUUCCAUUAAAAAUGGACCAAGAACAACAACACAUACAAAAAUUAUUACAAUGUUGGAACUUUUCCUAGAUACCCCAUUCCCCAUUCUCAUAGCACUUGUUCUCUUCAUUCUUUACUUUCGCUAUGCUGUCGUUCUCUUCUUUCUUAUCCUUCUCUUUGCUUUCUGUUCCCAUUUCAUUCUCAUUCUCUUCGAUCCCCUUUCUCGUCCAUGACUAUGGCUAUUACUAAUCAUUCCUCACCUCCUCCAUCACCCUCUACCAAAACGGUGAGGGUAAUGAUUAAAGGGAAGGUGCAGGGAGUGUUUUAUAGGAACUGGACAGUUGGAGUAUGCAACCCAAUUGGGGUUAAAAGGUUGGGUGAGGAACAGAAGGGAUGGUUCUGUGGAGGCUCUAUUCUCUGGUAAUUCUGAUAAUGUACAGGAAAUGGAGCAGAGGUGCCGCCGUGGCCCACCUGAUGCUAUGGUUACUGCUUCCAGGUUUUCCCUUCCACUGAUGACCCCGGAACUGGAUUUCAGCGCAAAGCAACAGUUUGAUGAGUCUUAGCGAAAAUUGCCUAUAGAAGAUUUCUGCUUCAGUUUGUAUAGUUCCUGCUCAACAUAAAUUACAGUUUUAUAUCCUGUUUAGAAAUUUACACGACGCAGUUCUGAAUUAUCAAUUGUCUUGUUGAAUACACAAUGAAAUUUCAAGUUUAUGAUAUAUUAGUCUUUUAAUA